UAAGUAGUGCUACUGACGAGACUGAUCGCAAAUCGU
Molecule: small RNA, 36 nt
Filed under: Bombyx mori (domestic silkworm)
Lineage: Eukaryota; Metazoa; Arthropoda; Insecta; Lepidoptera; Bombycidae
Description: ovarian small RNA-19376
Source: RNAcentral